This 585-nucleotide long non-coding RNA is filed under the name Manihot esculenta (cassava). RNAcentral's name for it is "long non-coding RNA (MESC_LNC002132)". Lineage: Eukaryota; Viridiplantae; Streptophyta; Magnoliopsida; Malpighiales; Euphorbiaceae. The record is from RNAcentral.
UUAAAUAUGAAAUUGCAUGAAUAUUGAAUUUUUAAAAAUUAAACAAUAUUUGAUCAAGUCUCACAACCCAUUAAUCAACUAAAACUUCAACCAAUAUUUAACUAGAUUAAAAUAAUUCAGUCACUCAUGACUGAAUUAAAAACAGAAAAAUAAAAUAGAAAAAGGAAAAGAAAAGAAAGAAGAACCGAAUUGCGCCGGGCGGUGGAAUUGCCGAAUUGAAAAUUCUAGCCGUUUAUCGUCCUUUAAAUAGAGCAGAGGAGAGGUGCCCCUAAUUGGGAAGUUGCUGGCCACGUGAGAGUUGAUAUCCCGUGUGCGGGAGAAUUGGCGUGAGUGGGCUGCGUGAUUGGUCCAUGUGAAGCGCUUGGGUUGUCCAAAUUGCGCGGAACGGUGAAGUGGGCGUUGAAGACGGGCCAUGUGCGCUGGCGGGUCCACGCGAGGAGAGAUUGAUCCAUGUGCUGGGAUGUUUCGGCGGGCCCAUGUGCUGGAGCUUGUAAUGGCGGGGAUGCGCGGACGUGCGAGUGAAGGUGCGGGCCGCUUGGUCCAUUGCGCGUACUUGGUCCACGUGAAGAGAGAUUGCAAUGGCGG